GAUGAAGAACGUAGUGAAAUGCGAUAAGUAAUGCGAAUUGCAGAAUUCAGUGAGUCAUCGAAUCUUUGAACGCACAUUGCGCCCUGUGGUAUUCCGCAGGGCAUGCCUGUUCGAGCGUCAUUUCAACCCUCAAGCCCCGCUUGGUGUUGGGCCCCGCCCGCUGUGGCCGGCCCUAAAGACAGUGGCGGCGCCGCCUGGCCCUCAGCGUAGUACAUCUCUCGCUCCAGGGUCCGGUGGCCGCCUGCCAGAACCCCCCAACUCUGUGGUUGACCUCGGAUCAGGUAGGGAUACCCGCUGAACUUAAGCAUAUCAAAAGCGGAGGA
RNAcentral lists this unclassified non-coding RNA (323 nucleotides) under soil metagenome. RNAcentral describes it as "partial contains 5.8S ribosomal RNA, internal transcribed spacer 2, and large subunit ribosomal RNA". The stretch from base 1 to 120 matches the Rfam family "5.8S ribosomal RNA", at positions 35 to 154 of the family's 154-position model. The record is from RNAcentral.